RNAcentral lists this ribosomal RNA (425 nucleotides) under uncultured bacterium. RNAcentral describes it as "partial 16S ribosomal RNA". It matches the Rfam family "Bacterial small subunit ribosomal RNA", at positions 354 to 796 of the family's 1533-position model. The record is from RNAcentral.
GUGGGGAAUAUUGGGCAAUGGGCGAAAGCCUGACCCAGCAACGCCGCGUGAAGGAAGAAGGUCUUCGGAUCGUAAACUUCUAUCCUUGGUGAAGAUAAUGACGGUAGCCGAGAAGGAAGCACCGGCUAACUACGUGCCAGCAGCCGCGGUAAUACGUAGGGGGCAAGCGUUGUCCGGAAUGAUUGGGCGUAAAGGGCGCGGAGGCGGCCUGGUAAGUCUGGAGUGAAAGUCAUGCUUUUAAGGUGGGAAUGGCUUUGGAUACUGUCGGGCUUGCGUGCAGGAAAGGUAAGUGGAAUUCCCGGUGUAGCGGUGAAAUGCGUAGAGAUCGGAAGGAACACCAGUGGAGAAGGCGACUUACUGGACUGUAACUGACGCUGAGUCGCGAAAGUGUGGGGAGCAAACAGGAUUAGAAACCCUUGUAGUCC